GCUGGCCAAGGAGCUGACGCGCAGCCUGGAGGACGUGCGGGGCGCCCUCCGUGACCAGGCGCUGCGGGACCUGAACACCUACACAGAGAAGAUGAGGGAAGCGCUGAGGCACUUCGACGUCCUGUUCGCGGAGUUUGAGCUCAGCUACGUCUCGGCCAUGGUGCCUGUGAAGUCCCCCAGGGAGUACUACGUGCAGCAGGAGGUCAUCGUGCUCUUCUGCGAGACGGUGGAGAGGU
This 236-nucleotide long non-coding RNA is filed under the name Pan troglodytes (chimpanzee). RNAcentral's name for it is "long non-coding RNA NONPTRT012908". Lineage: Eukaryota; Metazoa; Chordata; Mammalia; Primates; Hominidae. The record is from RNAcentral.